UGGGGAAUUUUGGACAAUAGGCGCAAGCCUGAUCCAGCCAUGCCGCGUGCGGGAAGAAGGCCUUCGGGUUGUAAACCGCUUUUGUCGGGGAAGAAAUCUCUCGGGCUAAUACCUCGGGGGGAUGACGGUACCCGAAGAAUAAGCACCCGCUAACUACGUGCCAGCAGCCGCGGUAAUACGUAGGGUGCGAGCGUUAAUCGGAAUUACUGGGCGUAAAGCGUGCGCAGGCGGUCGUGCAAGACAGAUGUGAAAUCCCCGGGCUCAACCUGGGAACUGCAUUUGUGACUGCACGGCUGGAGUACGGCAGAGGGGGAUGGAAUUCCGCGUGUAGCAGUGAAAUGCGUAGAUAUGCGGAGGAACACCGAUGGCGAAGGCAGUCCCCUGGGCCUGUACUGACGCUCAUGCACGAAAGCGUGGGGAGCAAACA
Molecule: ribosomal RNA, 427 nt
Filed under: uncultured bacterium
Lineage: Bacteria
Description: bacterial SSU rRNA
Rfam family: Bacterial small subunit ribosomal RNA
Source: RNAcentral